This 433-nucleotide ribosomal RNA is filed under the name uncultured bacterium. Its description in RNAcentral is "partial 16S ribosomal RNA". It matches the Rfam family "Bacterial small subunit ribosomal RNA", at positions 29 to 507 of the family's 1533-position model. The record is from RNAcentral.
AACGAACGCUGGCGGCAUGCCUAACACAUGCAAGUCGAACGAGAAAUCCGGGUCUAGUGGCGCAGGGGUGCGUAACGCGUGGGAAGCUGCCCUAAAGUUCGGAAUAACUCCCCGAAAGGGGUGAUAAUACCGGAAAAUGUUGUCGGACAAAAGAUUUAUCGCCUUUGGAUGGGCACGCGUUGGAUUAGGUAGUUGGUAGGGUAAAAGCCUACCAAGGCGACGAUCCAUAGCUGGCCGGAGAGGAUGAUCAGCCACACUGGGACUGAGACACGGCCCAGACUCCUACGGGACGCAGCAGUGGGGAAUAUUGGACCAUGGGCGCAAGCCUGAUCCAGCCCUGCCGCGUGAGUGAUGCAUGCCUUAGGGUUGUAAAGCUCUUUUACUCGUGAUGAGAAUGACAGUACCUGGAGAAUAAGCUCCGGCUAACUCCGUG